RNAcentral lists this ribosomal RNA (408 nucleotides) under Boophis elenae. RNAcentral describes it as "partial 16S ribosomal RNA". It matches the Rfam family "Bacterial large subunit ribosomal RNA", at positions 1923 to 2500 of the family's 2925-position model. Lineage: Eukaryota; Metazoa; Chordata; Amphibia; Anura; Mantellidae. The record is from RNAcentral.
AUUUACGGCCGCGGUACCCUAACCGUGCAAAGGUAGCACAAUCACUUGUUCUUUAAAUGAGGACUAGAAUCAACGGCAUCACGAGGAUCCCACUGUCUCCCCCCUCCAAUCAGUGAAACUGAUCUCCCCGUGAAGAAGCGGGGAUACAAAUAUAAGACGAGAAGACCCCAUGGAGCUUUAAACCCAACAGCACCCGUUUAUUUUCAUCCUCACAUAAGUUAGGUUAUGCCUGUUUGGUUUUAGGUUGGGGUGACCACGGAGUAUAAAACAACCUCCAUGAAAAAAGGACCAAAAAUCCUUAUUAGAGAAAGACAUUUCUAAAAUUAAUAAAUUAAUUUUUAAUGAUCCGAUAUUCGAUCAACGAACCAAGUUACCCUGGGGAUAACAGCGCAAUCCACUUCAAGAGCU